UGGGGAAUCUUCCGCAAUGGACGAAAGUCUGACGGAGCAACGCCGCGUGAGUGAAGACGGCCUUCGGGUUGUAAAGCUCUGUGAUCCGGGACGAAAGAGCCUGAGGUAAAUAGCCUAAGGAAGUGACGGUACCGGAAAAGCAAGCCACGGCUAACUACGUGCCAGCAGCCGCGGUAAUACGUAGGUGGCAAGCGUUGUCCGGAAUUAUUGGGCGUAAAGCGCGCGCAGGCGGCUUACUAAGUCCAUCUUAAAAGUGCGGGGCUUAACCCCGUGAUGGGAUGGAAACUGGAAAGCUGGAGUAUCGGAGAGGAAAGUGGAAUUCCUAGUGUAGCGGUGAAAUGCGUAGAGAUUAGGAAGAACACCGGUGGCGAAGGCGACUUUCUGGACGAAAACUGACGCUGAGGCGCGAAAGCGUGAGGAGCAAACAGG
This 429-nucleotide ribosomal RNA is filed under the name Fusobacteriota bacterium. RNAcentral's name for it is "Fusobacteria bacterium partial 16S ribosomal RNA". It matches the Rfam family "Bacterial small subunit ribosomal RNA", at positions 355 to 776 of the family's 1533-position model. The record is from RNAcentral. Lineage: Bacteria; Fusobacteriati; Fusobacteriota.